Molecule: long non-coding RNA, 3201 nt
Organism: Prosopis cineraria
Lineage: Eukaryota; Viridiplantae; Streptophyta; Magnoliopsida; Fabales; Fabaceae
Exons: 3
Source: RefSeq, a predicted model, not a curated record
GCGUCAAAAGAUUCUAGACAUUUUUACGCUUUAAUCCUUUAUUAAUUUAAAAACGUAGCAUAUAAUCGAACGGUAAACGUGAAGACUCUGAAGUGUCAAGCCCAGCACGACACGUCGACACCACCUCCGCCAGCGUCCAGGCUCCAGUGGCCCCUACGUCUUCGUCGAGAAUCUGGGAUCUUCUCCGUCUCCGACAACUCCUUCAUCUUCGUUGAGAUUUCGCCCCGCGGCUUCUUCAUCUUCGUUGAGAUCUUCGUCCAGCGGCUCCUUCAUCUCCGACGGCGGAAUCAGUUCUUCGAUCACUCUGGACGGCUGACAUUAGAUAAAAGUUCUUCGUUGUCGCUCGUCGGCCGGAUCUGUUACUUGCUAGACUCCAUCAGGCAGACUUCAGUUCUUCGUGCUUCUUGCUUGUUCUACUGAAUCAGGCUUUAAUAAGCUUAACGCCUAUUUAAGGCCUUUGAAACCUUAAAAGUAGGCCUAAUUAAUCAGGGACGCAAGGCAGAACCUUUUCCAGAAAUUAAAGCCAUGGCUUCGAAGCUGCUUUUGUUGAGACGGCUCUCAAGGUCUGUGAAGCCGUCGCUAGCAUUCCCUUCUUCAAAUUCCUACUCUUUGGUCUAUGGGUCUCGCCUUCUUCCUUUAAAGGCGUUCAAAUUCUGCUUUUCUUGGAGAAUAUCCAUCUGCCUCCUCCUUCAACCUCUUGUAGGAGCUAUUGCUCUCGCAGUUUGAGCGUUGAAGGCCCGGCUGCUAUUGAUUACCGUUCAUCUGUAGUCAGUUAACAGCAUCAACAUCAUGGUUAAGUUGCUUGGUUAAAUUUCAGUACCCAAUUGCCUAUGCUGCCACGGCUGUUAUUGAAUUGGUUUAUCUUUCUUAUUUUAUGCAAGAAGUUAUAUAAUUUACUAACUUAACAACAUUGGUGGCAUCCCUUUAUUAUAAUAGGGAAAUAAAUUUUUGUUAAUGAUUGAUGUGGAUGCAGUUCUAUACUGCAGGAGGAUGAAUUCCACAGACUGGCAAAUAAUGCAAUACAUGACCUGCAAGAGAAACUCGAGGUACCUCUAGCUGUUGUUUAAUCAUAACAUUGACAUCUACUACAAAUUUUUGAGUUGAUUUAUCCUAACAUCUUUUCUUAUACUUAUCUCUUUGGAAAAUAAGCUAUAGCUGUAACGGAAACAUGAUAUUUACACUUAGGCACUUAUCAUCUAAUUUUGCCUUGUUGAUUGCCAAGGCUAUGGAGAUUCUGUUGAAGUUGAUGGAUUUGAUAUAGACUAUGGGGUAAGGACAAUUGUCUGGACUCUUGAUAACAGAAAAAUGGAUAAUCAAUUAUUUAUUCAGAAAGACAAUACAAUUUUGAUAGAUUUUUAAACUACAAAUUGAUGUUGUUUUGCAGUAUUUGUAGCUAGUCAAAUUGUCAAGUUUACAAUUUGAUAACUGAAAUUAAAUUUUGUUAUUUGUUUUUCUAAAAUUAUAUUUCUUAAAGCCUUUUUUAUUAAUAAUUUUAUUGAGCCAAUUUUUAUUUAUAAUUGUUGGUGUUGGUCUUUUUGACAAUUUCCCUACUAGUUUCAAGAAGUGAAUUUCUUGUUUGGAGCAUGAACCAUUUGUUUUAAUAAGUCCUUGCAUUUUCCAGAGUGAUGUGUUGACAGUAAAACUGGGGGAUCUGGGCACCUAUGUAGUAAACAAACAAACACCAAAUAGACAAAUAUGGCUGUCUUCUCCGUCAGGUAUUCAUUCAUGCCUAUCGGUUGUCUUCUGUUCAGAAUGUUCUAUGCAGGGGUGCUAUUUUGUCUUGAAUAUUUGUAAUUUAGAUUACAUGCGAAUAGCUCAUUCUGUCUUGUGAAAAGCAUGCUAGCUGUGCGUUAUUUUACAUGCUGAGUUGUUCUGUUAUGGCUGAAUACCAAUAUUUGUGGAAUAAAUGCCAGAUUCUAUUAAAAGAUGGUCUUAGAAAGUUUGCAUAAAUUAUAAUGUGCAGGCUACAGCACUCUGGAAGCUGGAUAGCUUUCAACUUUGAAAUUGAUGCCCUUUGACUACUCAUUGGUCUUACUUUUUCAGUGUAGAAGAGGACGGAGGAGGAGUUCUAAUUGGUUUAAAAUCUCCUCUCUGCUAUUUUGGAAAUUUCCGGCGUAUAUGAUUUGAAAUAAGUAAACAAAGUGCAGCUUUUAUGAAAGAACCCAUUUACUCUUUUUUUUCCCCCUUAAGGAGAAAAUUUUUUCAUUUUCGUUUGCAAACUGAGGGCAGGGAUAUUUGAUGUUUGUGGUGAGUGGUAUGUCUUAUAAUUUUGAUGAGAUAGCUGCGGUUGUAGCCCCUGUAUGUGGAGAUUUGAAUACUUCAUCCGCCCUAGAACAUGCAUAGACAAACUUGUUCAUGCACUUUUGAAAGAGAUGGUGUCUUACAAUCAUCAUGUGUCCUUUUUCUUUUCUGGGAAUUACUUAAGUAUAGCACUAAGUUAGCUCUCAGUGACAUGGUGAUUGAUUAUAGUGAUUUAAAUUAUGUAGUUAUGUCUUAGAGGCCUUUGCUAUUCCCAUGUCUUCAGGCUUUAUUUCUAUCUGUUAAAAGUCUAAAUUUAAGUAUUAGACUGAGAAUCUUGAGAAAGCAUUUAAUGGUGGGAAAACUUAACCUAUGGCUCUCUGCUGAAUUACCUUUUACUGAAGUCAAGGUAUUUUGGUCCUCUACACAAUUGUCAGAUUCAUAUCAAGGAAAGUUUUAUUCUUAUCACGGGCAUAUUAUCUCUCUAAUAUAGCUAGUUUGGACUGGUGUGGGUUCUCAACUGAAAAAUGUGUUUUCUUGUCUACAUCAAAUAUAUUUUAAUCAUUUUAGCUUUUUCCAUAAAUGUUCCAUUAUCUCUUGGACGCUUGCGUAAUGGAUUUUAUCUCUGUUUGUCGUGGUCCAUCUAGGUUUGAUUGGGAUCUGGAAGGUAAAGCUUGGAUUUAUAGGCGGAACAAAGCAAAGUUGUACAAAGUCUUGGAAGAUGAAUUGGAGCAAUUGUGUGGCAAAUCCAUAGCUCUUUCCUAAGCUGUUGGGAAAGGUUACCUACAAUCCGAGUUCAUUUUUUAUAAAAAGAAAUUAUUGAUGAUCAAUUUUGAUGUUCAUGUGUACUUUUAGGCUCUCUUCUCGCCUUUACCUCUUUACUGGAUUGUAUCAAUUACACUGAUUUAUAUAAAUCGAUUGUGCCAUCUAAAUAAUAAUCUGUGUAAGAAAUCCAGGUCUAAA